GAUGUGGAGCAAAACACAAAAAGACAGUCUCAGUUCAGAUUGUAGGCUGAAACUCGCCUAUAUGAAGUCGGAAUUGCUAGUAAUCGCAGAUCAGCAUGCUGCGGUGAAUACGUUCCCGGGCCUUGUACACACCGCCCGUCACACCAUGGGAGCCGGAAAUGCCCGAAGCCAGUGACCCAACCUUAGGGAGGGAGCUGUCGAAGGUGGAGCCGGUAACUGGGGUGAAGUCGUAACAAGGUACC
RNAcentral lists this ribosomal RNA (242 nucleotides) under uncultured bacterium. RNAcentral describes it as "partial 16S ribosomal RNA". It matches the Rfam family "Bacterial small subunit ribosomal RNA", at positions 1259 to 1500 of the family's 1533-position model. The record is from RNAcentral.